AACGAACGCUGGCGGCAUGCCUAACACAUGCAAGUCGAACGAGACCUUCGGGUCUAGUGGCGCACGGGUGCGUAACGCGUGGGAACCUGCCCUUAGGUACGGAAUAACUCCCCGAAAGGGGUGCUAAUACCGGAUAAUGUCUUCGGACCAAAGAUUUAUCGCCUUUGGAUGGGCCCGCGUUGGAUUAGCUAGUUGGUAGGGUAAAAGCCCACCAAGGCGACGAUCCAUAGCUGGUCUGAGAGGAUGAUCAGCCACACUGGGACUGAGACACGGCCCAGACUCCUACGGGAGGCAGCAGUAGGGAAUAUUGGAAAAUGGGCCAAGUUCUGAUCCAGCAAGGCCGCGUGAGUGAUGAAGGCCUUAGGGUUGUAAUGCUCUUUUACCCGGGAUGAUAAUGACAGUACCGGGAGAAUAAGCGCCGGCUAACUACGUG
This 433-nucleotide ribosomal RNA is filed under the name uncultured bacterium. Its description in RNAcentral is "partial 16S ribosomal RNA". It matches the Rfam family "Bacterial small subunit ribosomal RNA", at positions 29 to 507 of the family's 1533-position model. The record is from RNAcentral.